RNAcentral lists this ribosomal RNA (135 nucleotides) under uncultured fungus. RNAcentral describes it as "partial 18S ribosomal RNA". The stretch from base 1 to 66 matches the Rfam family "Eukaryotic small subunit ribosomal RNA", at positions 1766 to 1831 of the family's 1831-position model. Lineage: Eukaryota; Fungi. The record is from RNAcentral.
UGGUCAUUUAGAGGAAGUAAAAGUCGUAACAAGGUCUCCGUUGGUGAACCAGCGGAGGGAUCAUUAUCGAGUUUAUAACUCCCAAACCCUAUGUGAACUUACCACUUGUUGCUUCGGCGCGCGCUUCGGUGCCGC